CUGCAGGGGGCGCUCAGGAGGCAGGAUGAGAGGACAUCAAAACGAGAAGAAGAGCGGUGAAUUCAGACGCCAAACUUCAGUGUUUGUUCCAGGUUUUAAUGUGAGGAAGGUACCUCUCCUCCUCCUCCUCCUCCUCCUCCUCCUCCUGCUUCUCC
Xyrichtys novacula (pearly razorfish) is the source of this 155-nucleotide non-coding RNA. Lineage: Eukaryota; Metazoa; Chordata; Actinopteri; Labriformes; Labridae. The record is from the annotation of a GenBank genome assembly.